GUUAACGCUGGCGGCGUGCCUAACACAUGCAAGUCGAACGGUUCUAAGCGCGAGCUUAGGAUAGUGGCGAACGGGUGAGUAAAAGGUAGGAAUCUACCCCUUGGACGGAGAUAGCUACUGGAAACGGUAGGUAAACUUCGAUAAGCCCGAGAGGGGAAAGUGGUGAGACAGCCGAGGGAUGAGCCUACUCUCCAUCAGGUAGUUGGUGAGAUAAAAGCUUACCAAGCCGAUGACGGAUAACCGGUGUGAGAGCAUGAACGGUCACAAGGGCACUGAGAGACGGGCCCUACUCCUACGGGAGGCAGCAGUGGGGAAUCUUGGACAAUGGGCGAAAGCCUGAUCCAGCGACGCCGCGUGGAGGAAGAAGUCCUUCGGGAUGUAAACUUCUGAACUAGCCGAAUAAAAGGCCUGUGGACACACAGGAGAAGAAAGUAGGCCAGGAAAAGUCCCGGCUAACUACGUG
Molecule: ribosomal RNA, 463 nt
Filed under: uncultured bacterium
Lineage: Bacteria
Description: bacterial SSU rRNA
Rfam family: Bacterial small subunit ribosomal RNA
Source: RNAcentral